UUGAGCCAGUCUAUUGGAGAAAGGAGCAAUGCGAACUGCCUUGGCAGAUCCAGGUUCGAGUCCCCACUCCCCCAAUCUCCCUACUCAAAAACAAAAAAUAAAAAAUAAAUUUUAAAGUUUCAUCUAUAAAAAAGUAUAAUACUACAACAACAUGAACUUCUAUAAACUUCAUGAGUAAUGUGAAUACCUACUUUAGCAUCUCAAGAUUAUCAACUGUCCCACUUGAAUUUGAUAUGCUCAUUUUCAUAAUUGUAUUUGUUACCAAGUUUGCAGUGUUAAAUGUGGUUCUGAUCCUAUACAUGAGAGGGGCAUUGAGUUAUCCCAUGCUAGCAAAGGACAAAGCUUGGCAUGGCCUUAUAUGGCAUAGACCUCUCCACCAAUUAGUUUAAACUUUUUGGCUGGAUGUUCUAACAAUGUAAAGUUUAUUACAUAUACUUUUUGUAUCUGAAUAAGGUUAGUAUGACACUCUGGUUUAUAUGGCCUAAACAUAAUCAUCACCACUUUCGUUGCUAAUUUAGAAAUAUGCAACCGGAAAGUAAAGGGUCCGAGAAAUAACAACGCCUAUGCCUUUCAAAGAAAGUGACACACUGAAGCAACCCAAUUUCAUCCAAACUCUACUAAGCAAGUCUUGUAUAUAGGUAUUGGAGGUGAAUGUGUAUAGGAAUGAUCAACAACUACCACCAAACUAAUGAGUCAAAUGCAUGUCAUACAAAUAAAAAGUCCUAAAAUUUUCUGUUUAUUUGGAGAAAGGGGACCAGCUUUCAUACUUUUAAUAGAAAACAUAUAUAUAAGUGCAUACCGCAUCUCCAUCAGCUUUGGAAG
Molecule: unclassified non-coding RNA, 822 nt
Filed under: Hevea brasiliensis (rubber tree)
Lineage: Eukaryota; Viridiplantae; Streptophyta; Magnoliopsida; Malpighiales; Euphorbiaceae
Source: RNAcentral